GCUGUCAUAGCUCAGUCGGUAGAGCGCGUCCAUGGUAAGGACGAGGUCUCCAGUUCGAUCCUGGAUGACAGCUCCA
RNAcentral lists this transfer RNA (76 nucleotides) under Candidatus Magasanikiibacteriota bacterium. RNAcentral's name for it is "tRNA-Thr". Lineage: Bacteria; Candidatus Magasanikiibacteriota. The record is from RNAcentral.